RNAcentral lists this ribosomal RNA (554 nucleotides) under Salmonella enterica. Its description in RNAcentral is "partial 23S ribosomal RNA". It matches the Rfam family "Bacterial large subunit ribosomal RNA", at positions 611 to 1165 of the family's 2925-position model. The record is from RNAcentral. Lineage: Bacteria; Pseudomonadati; Pseudomonadota; Gammaproteobacteria; Enterobacterales; Enterobacteriaceae.
UAUAAUGGGUCAGCGACUUAUAUUCUGUAGCAAGGUUAACCGAAUAGGGGAGCCGGAGGGAAACCGAGUCUUAAUUGGGCGUUAAGUUGCAGGGUAUAGACCCGAAACCCGGUGAUCUAGCCAUGGGCAGGUUGAAGGUUGGGUAACACUAACUGGAGGACCGAACCGACUAAUGUUGAAAAAUUAGCGGAUGACCUGUGGCUGGGGGUGAAAGGCCAAUCAAACCGGGAGAUAGCUGGUUCUCCCCGAAAGCUAUUUAGGUAGCGCCUCGUGAAUUCAUCUCCGGGGGUAGAGCACUGUUUCGGCUAGGGGGCCAUCCCGGCUUACCAACCCGAUGCAAACUGCGAAUACCGGAGAAUGUUAUCACGGGAGACACACGGCGGGUGCUAACGUCCGUCGUGAAGAGGGAAACAACCCAGACCGCCAGCUAAGGUCCCAAAGUCAUGGUUAAGUGGGAAACGAUGUGGGAAGGCCCAGACAGCCAGGAUGUUGGCUUAGAAGCAGCCAUCAUUUAAAGAAAGCGUAAUAGCUCACUGGUCGAGUCGGCCUGCGCG